GUUUUAGUAGUUUAAAUAAAACACUGGUCUUGUAAAUCAGAAUAGAGUAUUAAUACUCCUUAAACU
This 66-nucleotide transfer RNA is filed under the name Orthetrum chrysis. Its description in RNAcentral is "tRNA-Thr". It matches the Rfam family "tRNA". Rfam says of the family: Transfer RNA (tRNA) molecules are approximately 80 nucleotides in length. Their secondary structure includes four short double-helical elements and three loops (D, anti-codon, and T loops). Lineage: Eukaryota; Metazoa; Arthropoda; Insecta; Odonata; Libellulidae. The record is from RNAcentral.